Molecule: ribosomal RNA, 303 nt
Filed under: uncultured bacterium
Lineage: Bacteria
Description: partial 16S ribosomal RNA
Rfam family: Bacterial small subunit ribosomal RNA
Source: RNAcentral
AGCAGUAGCCGCGGUAAUACGUAGGUCCCGAGCGUUGUCCGGAUUUAUUGGGCGUAAAGCGAGCGCAGGCGGUUAGAUAAGUCUGAAGUUAAAGGCUGUGGCUUAACCAUAGUACGCUUUGGAAACUGUUUAACUUGAGUGCAAGAGGGGAGAGUGGAAUUCCAUGUGUAGCGGUGAAAUGCGUAGAUAUAUGGAGGAACACCGGUGGCGAAAGCGGCUCUCUGGCUUGUAACUAACGCUGAGGCUCGAAAGCGUGGGGAGCAAACAGGAUUAGAUACCCGCGUAGUCCCUGUCUCUUAUACA